Molecule: ribosomal RNA, 279 nt
Filed under: uncultured bacterium
Lineage: Bacteria
Description: partial 16S ribosomal RNA
Rfam family: Bacterial small subunit ribosomal RNA
Source: RNAcentral
UGCCAGCCGCCGCGGUAAUACGAAGGUCCCAAGCGUUGUUCGGAAUCACUGGGCGUAAAGCGUGUGUAGGCUGCGCGGAAAGUCAAAUGUGAAAGCCCGGGGCUCAACCUCGGAACUGCAUUCGAUACUCCCGUGCUAGAGUAAUGGAGAGGUAAGUGGAAUUCCUGGUGUAGCAGUGAAACGCGUAGAUAUUAGGAAGAACACCAAAGGCGAAGGCAUUCUACUGGACAUUUACUGACGCUCAGACACGAAGGCUAGGGUAGCGAAAGGGAUUAGAUA